GACGAACGCUGGCGGCGUGCUUAACACAUGCAAGUCGAACGGAAAGGCCCUGCUUUUGUAGGGUGCUCGAGUGGCGAACGGGUGAGUAACACGUGAGUAACCUGCCCUUGACUUUGGGAUAACUUCAGGAAACUGGGGCUAAUACCGGAUAGGAGCUCCUGCUGCAUGGUGGGGGUUGGAAAGUUUCGGCGGUUGGGGAUGGACUCGCGGCUUAUCAGCUUGUUGGUGGGGUAGGGGCUUACCAAGGCUUUGAGGGGUAGCCGGCCUGAGAGGGUGACCGGCGACAAUGCGCCUGAGAUACGGCGCAGUCGCCUACGGUCCGCAGCAGUGGGGAAUAUUGCACAAUGGGCGGAAGUCUGAUGCAGCGACGUCGCGUGCGGGAUGACGGCUUUCGGGUUGUAAACCGCUUUCGCCUGUGCCGAAGCGUGAGUGACGGUAAUGGGUAAAGAAGCACCGGCUAACUACGUG
RNAcentral lists this ribosomal RNA (468 nucleotides) under uncultured bacterium. Its description in RNAcentral is "partial 16S ribosomal RNA". It matches the Rfam family "Bacterial small subunit ribosomal RNA", at positions 28 to 507 of the family's 1533-position model. The record is from RNAcentral.